AAAUGAAUUGACGGGGACCCGCACAAGCGGUGGAGCAUGUGGUUUAAUUCGAAGCAACGCGAAGAACCUUACCAGGUCUUGACAUCCUUUGACCACUCCAGAGAUGGAGCUUUCCCUUCGGGGACAAAGUGACAGGUGGUGCAUGGUUGUCGUCAGCUCGUGUCGUGAGAUGUUGGGUUAAGUCCCGCAACGAGCGCAACCCUUAUUGUUAGUUGCCAGCAUUUAGUUGGGCACUCUAGCAAGACUGCCGGUGACAAACCGGAGGAAGGCGGGGAUGACGUCAAAUCAUCAUGCCCCUUAUGACCUGGGCUACACACGUGCUACAAUGGCAAGUACAACGAGUCGCCAACCCGCGAGGGUGCGCAAAUCUCUUAAAGCUUGUCUCAGUUCGGACUGUAGGCUGCAACUCGCCUACACGAAGUCGGAAUCGCUAGUAAUCGCGGAUCAGCACGCCGCGGUGAAUACGUUCCCGGGUCUUGUACACACCGCCCGU
RNAcentral lists this ribosomal RNA (493 nucleotides) under uncultured bacterium. RNAcentral describes it as "bacterial SSU rRNA". It matches the Rfam family "Bacterial small subunit ribosomal RNA", at positions 903 to 1397 of the family's 1533-position model. The record is from RNAcentral.